UUUGGUACAAAUUUGAAUUCUUAAAUCUCUUAUAUUAUGAUAUGAAUGUAGUGAAUUUGUUCCAUG
RNAcentral lists this microRNA precursor (66 nucleotides) under Oryza sativa (Asian cultivated rice). RNAcentral's name for it is "miR417 stem-loop (osa-MIR417)". Its record names the gene osa-MIR417. Lineage: Eukaryota; Viridiplantae; Streptophyta; Magnoliopsida; Poales; Poaceae. The record is from miRBase by way of RNAcentral.